CUACGGGGGGCUCCAGUGAGGAAUAUUGCACAAUGGGGGGAACCCUGAUGCAGCAACGCCGCGUGGAGGAUGACGCAUUUCGGUGUGUAAACUCCUUUAUAUGUCAAGAAAAUGACGGUAGCAUAUGAAUAAGCACCGGCUAACUCCGUGCCAGCAGCCGCGGUAAUACGGAGGGUGCAAGCGUUACUCGGAAUCACUGGGCGUAAAGGACGCGUAGGCGGGUUGGAAAGUCAGGUGUGAAAUCCUACAGCUUAACUGUAGAACUGCACUUGAAACUUCUAAUCUAGAGUAUAGGAGGGGGAGAUGGAAUUAGUGGUGUAGGGGUAAAAUCCGUAGAUAUCACUAGGAAUACCUAAAGCGAAGGCGAUCUCCUGGAACAUUACUGACGCUAAGGCGUGAAAGCGUGGGGAGCAAACAGGAUUAGAUACCCUUGUAGUC
RNAcentral lists this ribosomal RNA (438 nucleotides) under uncultured bacterium. RNAcentral's name for it is "partial 16S ribosomal RNA". It matches the Rfam family "Bacterial small subunit ribosomal RNA", at positions 339 to 795 of the family's 1533-position model. The record is from RNAcentral.